RNAcentral lists this ribosomal RNA (301 nucleotides) under uncultured bacterium. RNAcentral describes it as "partial 16S ribosomal RNA". It matches the Rfam family "Bacterial small subunit ribosomal RNA", at positions 509 to 807 of the family's 1533-position model. The record is from RNAcentral.
CAGCCGCCACGGUAAUACAGAGGGUGCGAGCGUUAAUCGGAUUUACUGGGCGUAAAGCGUGCGUAGGCGGCUUCUUAAGUCGGAUGUGAAAUCCCUGAGCUUAACUUAGGAAUUGCAUUCGAUACUGGGAAGCUAGAGUAUGGGAGAGGAUGGUAGAAUUCCAGGUGUAGCGGUGAAAUGCGUAGAGAUCUGGAGGAAUACCGAUGGCGAAGGCAGCCAUCUUGCCUAAUACUGACGCUGAGUUACGAAAGCAUGGGGAGCAAACAGGAUUAGAUACCCCGGUAGUCCCUGUCUCUUAUAC